RNAcentral lists this long non-coding RNA (228 nucleotides) under Nicotiana benthamiana. Its description in RNAcentral is "long non-coding RNA (NBEN_LNC006735)". The record is from RNAcentral. Lineage: Eukaryota; Viridiplantae; Streptophyta; Magnoliopsida; Solanales; Solanaceae.
ACAUCUGCCAUGAGAAACAUCAAACACCUACCAACCCCAAAAUAGACGAACUUUAUUAUAGAUAUUAGACAUAAACUACAACAAUCUGCAUGACUACAUCUUGAAGUCAUGUACUGCGGUCCUCCAACCCACUCCUUCUCACCUCUUCCAAAACCAAAUAGGUAGGCCAAAGAAUGAUUAUUCUCAAGGUUUUCAUCUAUAUGAAAAUGAUGCAACUAUAAUAUACCC